ACGAACGCUAGCGGCAGGCCUAACACAUGCAAGUCGAGGGGUAGAAAGUGCUUGCACUUUUGAGACCGGCGCACGGGUGCGUAACGCGUAUGCAAUCUACCUUGUACAGAGGGAUAGCCCGGAGAAAUCCGGAUUAAUACCUCAUAGUAUUAUAGAGUGGCAUCAUUUUAUAAUUAAAGUUUUAACGGUACAAGAUGAGCAUGCGUCCCAUUAGUUAGUUGGUGUGGUAACGGCACACCAAGACUGUGAUGGGUAGGGGUCCUGAGAGGGAGAUCCCCCACACUGGUACUGAGACACGGACCAGACUCCUACGGGAGGCAGCAGUGAGGAAUAUUGGUCAAUGGAGGCAACUCUGAACCAGCCAUGCCGCGUGCAGGAAGACGGUUCUAUGGAUUGUAAACUGCUUUUGUACAGGAAGAAAUUAUCCCUCGUGAGGGAGCUUGACAGUACUGUAAGAAUAAGGAUCGGCUAACUCCGUGC
RNAcentral lists this ribosomal RNA (480 nucleotides) under uncultured bacterium. Its description in RNAcentral is "bacterial SSU rRNA". It matches the Rfam family "Bacterial small subunit ribosomal RNA", at positions 29 to 508 of the family's 1533-position model. The record is from RNAcentral.